UUGCUGUCACUUAUAGAUGGAUCCGCGCUGCAUUAGCUAGUUGGUAAGGUAACGGCUUACCAAGGCAACGAUGCAUAGCCGACCUGAGAGGGUGAUCGGCCACACUGGAACUGAGACACGGUCCAGACUCCUACGGGAGGCAGCAGUAGGGAAUCUUCCGCAAUGGGCGAAAGCCUGACGGAGCAACGCCGCGUGAGUGAUGAAGGUCUUCGGAUCGUAAAACUCUGUUAUUAGGGAAGAACAUAUGUGUAAGUAACUGUGCACAUCUUGACGGUACCUAAUCAGAAAGCCACGGCUAACUACGUGCCAGCAGCCGCGGUAAUACGUAGGUGGCAAGCGUUAUCCGGAAUUAUUGGGCGUAAAGCGCGCGUAGGCGGUUUUUUAAGUCUGAUGUGAAAGCCCACGGCUCAACCGUGGAGGGUCAUUGGAAACUGGAAAACUUGAGUGCAGAAGAGGAAAGUGGAAUUCCAUGUGUAGCGGUGAAAUGCGCAGAGAUAUGGAGGAACACCAGUGGCGAAGGCGACUUUCUGGUCUGUAACUGACGCUGAUGUGCGAAAGCGUGGGGAUCAAACAGGAUUAGAUACCCUGGUAGUCCACGCCGUAAACGAUGAGUGCUAAGUGUUAGGGGGUUUCCGCCCCUUAGUGCUGCAGCUAACGCAUUAAGCACUCCGCCUGGGGAGUACGACCGCAAGGUUGAAACUCAAAGGAAUUGACGGGGACCCGCACAAGCGGUGGAGCAUGUGGUUUAAUUCGAAGCAACGCGAAGAACCUUACCAAAUCUUGACAUCCUUUGACAACUCUAGAGAUAGAGCCUUCCCCUUCGGGGGACAAAGUGACAGGUGGUGCAUGGUUGUCGUCAGCUCGUGUCGUGAGAUGUUGGGUUAAGUCCCGCAACGAGCGCAACCCUUAAGCUUAGUUGCCAUCAUUAAGUUGGGCACUCUAAGUUGACUGCCGGUGACAAACCGGAGGAAGGUGGGGAUGACGUCAAAUCAUCAUGCCCCUUAUGAUUUGGGCUACACACGUGCUACAAUGGACAAUACAAAGGGCAGCGAAACCGCGAGGUCAAGCAAAUCCCAUAAAGUUGUUCUCAGUUCGGAUUGUAGUCUGCAACUCGACUACAUGAAGCUGGAAUCGCUAGUAAUCGUAGAUCAGCAUGCUACGGUGAAUACGUUCCCGGGUCUUGUACACACCGCCCGUCACACCACGAGAGUUUGUAACACCCGAAGCCGGUGGAGUAACCUUUUAGGAGCUAGCCGUCGAAGGUGGGACAAAUGAUUGGGGUGAAGUCGUAACAAGGUAGCCGUAUCGGAAGGUGCGGCUGGAUCACCUCCUUUCUAAGGA
This 1341-nucleotide ribosomal RNA is filed under the name Staphylococcus aureus. Its description in RNAcentral is "bacterial SSU rRNA". It matches the Rfam family "Bacterial small subunit ribosomal RNA", at positions 209 to 1533 of the family's 1533-position model. The record is from RNAcentral. RNAcentral also lists the same sequence under 1 other name. Lineage: Bacteria; Bacillati; Bacillota; Bacilli; Caryophanales; Staphylococcaceae.